Molecule: ribosomal RNA, 253 nt
Filed under: uncultured bacterium
Lineage: Bacteria
Description: partial 16S ribosomal RNA
Rfam family: Bacterial small subunit ribosomal RNA
Source: RNAcentral
UACGAAGGGGGCUAGCGUUGCUCGGAAUCACUGGGCGUAAAGCGCACGUAGGCGGAUCUUUAAGUCAGGGGUGAAAUCCCGGAGCUCAACUCCGGAACUGCCUUUGAUACUGGGGAUCUUGAGUUCGAGAGAGGUGAGUGGAACUGCGAGUGUAGAGGUGAAAUUCGUAGAUAUUAGGAAGAACACCAGUGGCGAAGGCGGCUCACUGGCCCGGUACUGACGCUGAGGUGCGAAAGCGUGGGGAGCGAACAGG